Molecule: ribosomal RNA, 399 nt
Filed under: uncultured bacterium
Lineage: Bacteria
Description: partial 16S ribosomal RNA
Rfam family: Bacterial small subunit ribosomal RNA
Source: RNAcentral
AAUCUUAGACAAUGGGCGCAAGCCUGAUCUAGCCAUGCCGCGUGUGUGAUGAAGGUCUUAGGAUCGUAAAGCACUUUCGCCAGGGAUGAUAAUGACAGUACCUGGUAAAGAAACCCCGGCUAACUCCGUGCCAGCAGCCGCGGUAGUACGGAGGGGGUUAGCGUUGUUCGGAAUUACUGGGCGUAAAGCGCGCGUAGGCGGAUUGGAAAGUUGGGGGUGAAAUCCCGGGGCUCAACCCCGGAACUGCCUCCAAAACUACCAGUCUAGAGUUCGAGAGAGGUGAGUGGAAUUCCAAGUGUAGAGGUGAAAUUCGUAGAUAUUUGGAGGAACACCAGUGGCGAAGGCGGCUCACUGGCUCGAUACUGACGCUGAGGUGCGAAAGCGUGGGGAGCGAACAGG